AGUUGGUGGAGUGAUUUGUCUGGUUAAUUCCGUUAACGAACGAGACCUCAGCCUACUAUUGUAGUUGCAGUGUAUCUUGAUACGCUCGACUUCUUAGAGGGACUGACAGUUUUUAGCUGUUGGAAGUUUGAGGCAAUAACAGGU
Molecule: ribosomal RNA, 144 nt
Filed under: Cercozoa sp.
Lineage: Eukaryota; Cercozoa
Description: partial small subunit ribosomal RNA
Rfam family: Eukaryotic small subunit ribosomal RNA
Source: RNAcentral